UGUUCCCUACGGGAGGCAGCAGUGGGGAAUAUUGCACAAUGGGGGGAACCCUGAUGCAGCGACGCCGCGUGGGUGAAGGAGUACUUCGGUACGUAAAGCCCUAUCAGCAGGAAAGAAAAUGACGGUACCUGACUAAGAAGCCCCGGCUAACUACGUGCCAGCAGCCGCGGUAAUACGUAGGUGGCAAGCGUUGUCCGGAUUUACUGGGUGUAAAGGGCGUGUAGCCGGGCUGACAAGUCAGAUGUGAAAUCCGGGGGCUCAACCCCCGAACUGCAUUUGAAACUGUUGGUCUUGAGUAUCGGAGG
Molecule: ribosomal RNA, 305 nt
Filed under: uncultured bacterium
Lineage: Bacteria
Description: bacterial SSU rRNA
Rfam family: Bacterial small subunit ribosomal RNA
Source: RNAcentral